This 2149-nucleotide ribosomal RNA is filed under the name human gut metagenome. Its description in RNAcentral is "bacterial LSU rRNA". It matches the Rfam family "Bacterial large subunit ribosomal RNA", at positions 41 to 2225 of the family's 2925-position model. The record is from RNAcentral.
AUGAGCCGAUGAAAGACGUGAUAAGCUGCGAUAAGCUACGGGGAGGAGCACAUAUCCAUUGAUCCGUAGAUUUCUGAAUGGGGAAACCCGGCUGAGCAUACCUCAGUCACCGUACACUGAAUCCAUAGGUGUACGGAGGGAACCCGGUGAACUGAAACAUCUAAGUAGCCGGAGGAAGAGAAAGAAAACUCGAUUUUCAAAGUAGCGGCGAGCGAAAUGGAAAGAGCCCAAACCGGAGUGCGUGCACUCCGGGGUUCGGACUGCAUUUAUGACUUCUGACUGUAGCGGAACGGUUCUGGAAAGACCGGCCAGAGAGGGUGAGAGCCCCGUAGGCGAAACGGAAAGAAGCAGAGCAGGAUCCAGAGUACCACGAGACACGAGAAACCUUGUGGGAAUGAGCGGGGACCACCCCGUAAGGCUAAAUACUCCUUAGUGACCGAUAGAGCAGAGUACUGUGAAGGAAAGGUGAAAAGGACCCCGGGAGGGGAGUGAAAGAGAACCUGAAACCCUGUGUUUACAAACUGUGGAAGUACCAUACGAGUACAACCGCGUACUUUUUGUAGAACGGUCCGGCGAGUUACGUUUACUGGCGAGGUUAAGCACUUAAGGUGCGGAGCCGAAGGGAUACCAAGUCUUAACAGGGCGUAAAGUCAGUGUACGUAGACCCGAAACCGGGUGAUCUACCCAUGUCCAGGCUGAAGUUGCCGUAAAAGGCAAUGGAGGGCCGAACGCACAUCCGUUGAAAAGGGUGGCGAUGAGGUGUGGGUAGGGGAGAAAUUCCAAUCGAACCCGGAGAUAGCUGGUUCUCCUCGAAAUAGCUUUAGGGCUAGCCUCGUGUUAACCUUGUGGAGGUAGAGCACUGAAUAUCCUAGGGGGCGUCAAAGUCUACCGAAGAUUAUCAAACUCCGAAUGCCAUAAAGGUGAUGCACGGGAGUCAGACUGCACGAGAUAAGUUGGGUGGUCAAAAGGGAAAGAGCCCAGACCUACAGCUAAGGUCCCAAAGUGCGUGUUAAGUGGAAAAGGAUGUGGGAUUUCGAAGACAACUAGGAUGUUGGCUCAGAAGCAGCCAUACAUUCAAAGAGUGCGUAAUAGCUCACUAGUCGAGAGGUCCUGCGCCGAAAAUGUCCGGGGCUGAAACACGACACCGAAGCUUAGGACUCCAUUUAGGAGUGGUAGAGGAGCAUUGUUAGCGCAGCGAAGCUGUACCGAUAAGGAGCAGUGGAGUGCUAAGAAGAGAGAAUGCCGGAAUGAGUAGCGAGAGGAAGGUGAGAAUCCUUCCGGCCGAAUAUCCAAGGUUUCCAGAGUAAAGCUGAUCUGCUCUGGGUAAGUCGGGGCCUAAGGCGAGGUCGAAAGACGUAGUCGAUGGAUAACAGGUGGAGAUUCCUGUACUAUGUGUACCCAGAACUGUGGGGACGCAUGUGGAGAGCAUGAGCCGGGAAAGAGAAAACCGGUACAAGCGGGGUAGGAGUAAGGACAGCAAAUCUUCCUUACAAUCCGAAGACGUGAUGUGGACCGAACCAAAGUAGGGAAGCAUGUGAGCCAUGUGCCAAGAAAAGCCGCUAUAGUGAUACACAUACCCGUACCGUANACCGACACAGGUGGAUGAGGAGAGAAUCCUAAGGCCGACGGAAGAAGCAUUGUUAAGGAACUCGGCAAAAUGACCCCGUAACUUCGGGAGAAGGGGUGCCCUGUGAAAGCAGGGCCGCAGAGAAUAGGCUCAAGCAACUGUUUAGCAAAAACACAGGUCUAUGCGAAACCGAAAGGUGAGGUAUAUGGGCUGACGCCUGCCCGGUGCUGGAAGGUUAAGAGGAGAAGUCAGGCAACGAAGCUUCGAAUUUAAGCCCCAGUAAACGGCGGCCGUAACUAUUACGGUCCUAAGGUAGCGAAAUUCCUUGUCGGGUAAGUUCCGACCCGCACGAAAGGCGUAAUGAUUUGAGCACUGUCUCGACGAUGCAUCCGGUGAAAUUGAAGUACCAGUGAAGAUGCUGGUUACCUGCGCCAGGACGGAAAGACCCCAUGGAGCUUUACUCCAGCUUGAUACUGGGAUUCGAUACUGUAUGUACAGGAUAGGUGGGAGACGUUGAGCAUAGAACGCCAGUUUUAUGUGAGUCGCUGUUGGGAUACCAGCCUUGCAGUAUUGGAUUUCUAA